CAGUAAAAAUUCAAUUCUGGUGGUGUUUAACUUCUUGUGGUUUCUGUUCCGAGAUUGCGUUCGGUCUGGGCUGGAAUCUCCAUUUGCAGCUGGUUUGGUUCAGCUGUGUGUGUGAUUUUAAGCGGGUCUCCGA
This 133-nucleotide small nucleolar RNA is filed under the name Triticum aestivum (bread wheat). Its description in RNAcentral is "Small nucleolar RNA Z112". It matches the Rfam family "Small nucleolar RNA Z112", at positions 54 to 179 of the family's 184-position model. Rfam says of the family: Z112 is a member of the C/D class of snoRNA which contain the C (UGAUGA) and D (CUGA) box motifs. Most of the members of the box C/D family function in directing site-specific 2'-O-methylation of substrate RNAs. Lineage: Eukaryota; Viridiplantae; Streptophyta; Magnoliopsida; Poales; Poaceae. The record is from Rfam by way of RNAcentral.